This 1702-nucleotide long non-coding RNA is filed under the name Homalodisca vitripennis (glassy-winged sharpshooter). RNAcentral describes it as "uncharacterized LOC124373723". Lineage: Eukaryota; Metazoa; Arthropoda; Insecta; Hemiptera; Cicadellidae. The record is from RNAcentral.
UGUUUUGUGCAGUACACACGCGUUUUGGCCUUUGGUAAUAUCACUUCACUGCCGCUCAGACACAGCGCCAUCGUAGCUUUUUGUCUGUAUUCGCCAUUCGCUUCCAUAGACGUUAUUUUAGAAUUUGUAUUAUGUGUUUGUGUUACAGGUACAAAAGAUACAAAAUGCUAUAGAACUUUCAUCAAAGAUUUAUUAGGAUUUGGAGGUGCCUUGCUGUGUUGAGAGAGAAACAGAUAUAUGCUGUGCAAUCGUUGAGUUUCCAGAUGGUAUUCAGCUUGUACCGAAACUUCGGUUUCGUGAUGAUGUCUUUGCCUAACUGUGCAAAUCAACUAAACUUUAAUAAAACGAUACCUGAUCACAGGACUACAGAUACAAGGACAGAUUAUCCACCGAAUUGGAUCAUUGCAACCUCGUGGAGAUACAUAGCAUAAAUCUUUACGUUUAUACUUCAAGGGCAACAUGGAGGAACAACUUGAUCAAACGUCAACAAUGAAAAGAGCAAUUCUUCAGGAUCUACAGCAACUACUCCAUGAACAUCACGCAUUGGUCAGGCUGUCCAAGACUGCUUUGGAACGCAUGCCAGAUGAUAACUACAAAGUUGAGAUCAGAACGAAUAAAGAACCAGCUGGAACACACGAACAAUGCCCCAACAAUAGAUAAAGUUGCAAUUCCCAUUGUGGGUGAAAACUUGGACUUUGUGCUUACACGUCGCGAUGCUGGACAACUGCAAAACUGUAACAAAUAUCUGAAACACAUCGUUCGUACGACAUUCCAAUACCCGCUAAUGGUUUGGCAAGGAGAAGAUGGAUAUUGUUUCCAUAUACAAAUGAGAAAUCCAUUCAAUGGUGAGGAAACCACCAAGAAGGAGAGCUCGAUGAAUUACGCAUAUCGUUAGACGAUUCUCCAAAUUCCGACAACUAUUUGCUGAGAUUUCGUCGAUAGCUUCAGGACAUGUACGUCAAAAUCGAAAUGGAGCGCUUAACUUCCAUGCGGUUGAACCAAGCCAAACUACGUUCCGAGGAGUACAUCCUUUUAUGCGAUGCAAUUAGCAGUGAAGGAAAUGCGGCUAAUAUUGAUCGAUUAACUAUUCUGCUGGCGACGUUCAUAGGUAGUCUACGUCAUAUGCUUGAAUAUGGCCCAGAUGCAAUGAUGUAUGUUCGUUAUUACGGUCGGCCAGAUCUCUUCAUUACUUUUACGUGUAAUGCAAAAUGGAUUGAAAUUAGCCAAAUAUUGCUUCCCGGACAAACGUAGAGUGAUCGACACGAUGUUGCUGCACAAAACGAAAACUGCAUGUCAGGGACAAAAAUACAGUCCCUGAUGAACUACAUCGUUAAAAUUACGAAGCUGAUCCAGAACUACAUGGUGUAAUUACAAAUAUGGUUCUUGGAUUCUCUGACACCAUCAAAACCCAAUCACCAUGCAUGGUCGACGGAAGGUGUUCCAAACGAUAUCCACGGAAAUUUACGGCGGAGACCGUCACUCGCAACGAUGGUUAUCCACUGUACCGGAGUCGAUCACCCGAUCAUAACGGCCGAACUAUCACAACAAAAGUGAAAAGAACGGAUUUCUUGGUCAACAACAGUUGGGUUCUUCCACAUUCACCACUAAUUUCGAAAACUUUCAAGACACAUUGCAACGUUGAAUAUUGUAAUUCAGUAAAGUCCAUCAAAUAAAUCUUCAAAUAUGUUACGAGAGGCAACGA